UGCCUACGGGAGGCAGCAGUAGGGAAUCUUCCACAAUGGGCGAAAGCCUGAUGGAGCAACGCCGCGUGGGUGAAGAAGGUCUUCGGAUCGUAAAACCCUGUUGUUAGAGAAGAAAGUGCGUGAGAGUAACUGUUCACGUUUCGACGGUAUCUAACCAGAAAGCCACGGCUAACUACGUGCCAGCAGCCGCGGUAAUACGUAGGUGGCAAGCGUUAUCCGGAAUGAUUGGGCGUAAAGGGUGCGUAGGCGGCAAAAUAAGUCUGAAGUAAAAGGCGUUGGCUCAACCAACGUAAGCUUUGGAAACU
This 305-nucleotide ribosomal RNA is filed under the name uncultured bacterium. RNAcentral describes it as "bacterial SSU rRNA". It matches the Rfam family "Bacterial small subunit ribosomal RNA", at positions 335 to 634 of the family's 1533-position model. The record is from RNAcentral.